Molecule: long non-coding RNA, 718 nt
Organism: Macrobrachium nipponense
Lineage: Eukaryota; Metazoa; Arthropoda; Malacostraca; Decapoda; Palaemonidae
Exons: 2
Source: RefSeq, a predicted model, not a curated record
UUCCACAUGGAAUUUGUAUUUUUUAUUAUUUGUUUAAUUAGCAUGGUCACUGGAAGACAGUUAACGUAGUUUUCAAAUAUUUAACUACCCCCUUGGUUGUUAACAGCUCACUGCCUUCCAGCGGCCGUUCUGGUUCUGUCCUAACCAACCACUAAUGAUUUUGCUUUCUUCCUGAGGUUGACGGAAACUUAAGUCAGUUACGAAGGAGAUUUCAAUCACGAAGGGUCUCGUAACUCAGAUACUCUGAGCUCUAUUGACUAUAUAAGGAUAUACAGCUAUAUCUUUGAAGUGACGACGACUAUUCCUUUCGACAUGUAAUCGCCGUUUAAACCCAGCCAGGAAGAAGCAUUCCUUCAUCGCAGUCUCUCACUCUACACUUACUUCGCCUUCGUCCCAGGAUGAUAUCGGGAUAUAAUGAAUUAUGUACUACGUGGACGUCAGUUUGGACUGUUGGUAUAUAUAUAUUUUUAGAUUUUCCAAGGUAUGCAACUUUCCAAGUGUUAUAAGUGCUGCACAUGCUCAUAAUUAAAUUUAGAUAUAUGCAUACGAUUAUUGUGUAGUGAUUAAUUAGGCAUUUGGUAAUAUUUAAGGUAUUUUGGAAGUGGCUGAAUUACUGCGGCUCCCCCAAGCUUCACGAUGAUCAACUUUGUGUAUUAGCUGCCGCAUCAGCACCUGGAUGAUAGGACAGUUUUCAAUUACAAUAAAUUACUUAAUUUUU